GGCUCAGGAUGAACGCUAGCUACAGGCUUAACACAUGCAAGUCGAGGGGCAGCGGGAUUGAAGCUUGCUUCAAUUGCCGGCGACCGGCGCACGGGUGAGUAACGCGUAUCCAACCUUCCGUACACUCAGGGAUAGCCUUUCGAAAGAAAGAUUAAUACCUGAUGGUAUGAUGAGAUCGCAUGGUAUCAUCAUUAAAGAUUUAUCGGUGUACGAUGGGGAUGCGUUCCAUUAGGUAGUAGGCGGGGUAACGGCCCACCUAGCCUACGAUGGAUAGGGGGUUCUGAGAGGAAGGUCCCCCACAUUGGAACUGAGACACGGUCCAAACUCCUACGGGAGGCAGCAGUGAGGAAUAUUGGUCAAUGGACGAGAGUCUGAACCAGCCAAGUAGCGUGAAGGAUGAAGGUCCUAUGGGUUGUAAACUGCUUUUAUAAGGGAAUAAAGUGGGAGUCGUGACUCUUUUUGCAUGUACCUUAUGAAUAAGGACCGGCUAAUUCCGUG
RNAcentral lists this ribosomal RNA (498 nucleotides) under uncultured bacterium. RNAcentral describes it as "bacterial SSU rRNA". It matches the Rfam family "Bacterial small subunit ribosomal RNA", at positions 21 to 507 of the family's 1533-position model. The record is from RNAcentral.